AUGAGACAAUCUUAAAGGUCCCUGCUGUCACUGCCAGCCCAAACCAUUUUAUGGUGAUUCUGUAAUUUUAGAAGAUUUUACUGCUGUCUGAAACCAGGUCACCAUCACCCUCCUCUCACAUCACCUGAUCCAGUCAGCCUGAAAUCUGCUCUUUGUGCAUCAUCUCCCAAAGCUGGCUGAACUCUCUUCUCAGGGGUUAAAAACCUGCCAGAGACCUUCAGGAACAGCAGACACGAGCUCUCCACCCCCAGAGGCAGCACCCAGGUACAAAGGUUGAUCUUAACAGCAUAAAUCCAGGAUAUGAGGGAUGGCAUCUCUGCUGGCUUCAGAGAGGACAGAGAAACCUGCAAAGAAAGCCUUACAUACCACCUGGCAGAAGAAAUUAAAGCUUUUUAUGUUUUAGGCAUUCAAAUAAACUUAUAAUGGCAAAACUCA
Parus major (Great Tit) is the source of this 435-nucleotide long non-coding RNA. RefSeq lists it as uncharacterized. NCBI's taxonomy places the organism in Eukaryota, Metazoa, Chordata, Aves, Passeriformes, Paridae. The record is from RefSeq and is a predicted model, not a curated record. The transcript has 3 exons.